Molecule: ribosomal RNA, 660 nt
Filed under: uncultured bacterium
Lineage: Bacteria
Description: bacterial SSU rRNA
Rfam family: Bacterial small subunit ribosomal RNA
Source: RNAcentral
AGAGUUUGAUCCUGGCUCAGGACGAACGCUGGCGGUGUGCUUCACACAUGCAAGUCGAACGGAGUAGCAAUACUCAGUGGCGGACGGGUGAGUAACACGUGGGAAUCUACCAUUAGGUGGGGAAUAACAGGCCGAAAGGACUGCUAAUGCCGCAUAUGUAGGCAUCUCGACAGAGAUGUUUAUGAAAGGAGUAAUCCGCCUUUUGAUGAGCCCGCGUCCGAUUAGCUAGUUGGUAGGGUAAAAGCCUACCAAGGCGACGAUCGGUAGGUGGUCUGAGAGGAUGAUCACCCACAAUGGGACUGAGACACGGCCCAUACUCCUACGGGAGGCAGCAGUGGGGAAUUUUACGCAAUGGGGGAAACCCUGACGUAGCGACACCGCGUGAGCGAAGAAGCCCUUUGGGGUGGAAAGCUCUGUCAACAGGAACGAAACAAAUGACGGUACCUGUGGAGGAAGCAUCGGCUAACUACGUGCCAGCAGCCGCGGUAAGACGUAGGAUGCAAGCGUUGUCCGGAUUUAUUGGGCGUAAAGAGUUCGUAGGCGGUUUGUUAAGUCUGAUGUUAAAGACCGGGGCUCAACCUCGGAAAUGCAUUGGAUACUGGCAGACUGGAGUGCAGUAGAGGCUAGUGGAAUUCCCAGUGUAGCGGUGAAAUGCGUAGA